Molecule: ribosomal RNA, 773 nt
Filed under: uncultured Streptococcus sp.
Lineage: Bacteria; Bacillati; Bacillota; Bacilli; Lactobacillales; Streptococcaceae
Description: bacterial SSU rRNA
Rfam family: Bacterial small subunit ribosomal RNA
Source: RNAcentral
GACGAACGCUGGCGGCGUGCCUAAUACAUGCAAGUAGAACGCACAGUUUAUACCGUAGCUCGCUACACCAUAGACUGUGAGUUGCGAACGGGUGAGUAACGCGUAGGUAACCUGCCUGGUAGCGGGGGAUAACUAUUGGAAACGAUAGCUAAUACCGCAUAAUAUUGAUUAUUGCAUGAUAAUUGAUUGAAAGAUGCUAUUGCAUCACUACCAGAUGGACCUGCGUUGUAUUAGCUAGUAGGUGAGGUAACGGCUCACCUAGGCGACGAUACAUAGCCGACCUGAGAGGGUGAUCGGCCACACUGGGACUGAGACACGGCCCAGACUCCUACGGGAGGCAGCAGUAGGGAAUCUUCGGCAAUGGACGAAAGUCUGGCCGAGCAACGCCGCGUGAGUGAAGAAGGUUUUCGGAUCGUAAAGCUCUGUUGUAAGAGAAGAACGGGUGUGAGAGUGGAAAGUUCACACUGUGACGGUAUCUUACCAGAAAGGGACGGCUAACUACGUGCCAGCAGCCGCGGUAAUACGUAGGUCCCGAGCGUUGUCCGGAUUUAUUGGGCGUAAAGCGAGCGCAGGCGGUUAGAUAAGUCUGAAGUUAAAGGCUGUGGCUUAACCAUAGUACGCUUUGGAAACUGUUUAACUUGAGUGCAGAAGGGGAGAGUGGAAUUCCAUGUGUAGCGGUGAAAUGCGUAGAUAUAUGGAGGAACACCGGUGGCGAAAGCGGCUCUCUGGUCUGUAACUGACGCUGAGGCUCGAAAGCGUGGGGAGCGAACAGG